GUUGGUAGAGGCGCGGCACGCAAGAGUAACCCCCGGUCAUCGGCAAACGUACGGGGCGCGAAAGGGUCUGCCGCCGAAGUAUCGCGGAGACGCCGUGAACCGUGAUGCUGGGCCGUCGGGAAACACCCGCCGGACUGUCACAUUUAUGUGGAGCGCUAUCGGAU
This 164-nucleotide non-coding RNA is filed under the name bovine gut metagenome. RNAcentral describes it as "Lysine riboswitch". It matches the Rfam family "Lysine riboswitch aptamer". From Rfam's summary of the family: Riboswitches are metabolite binding domains within certain messenger RNAs that serve as precision sensors for their corresponding targets. Allosteric rearrangement of mRNA structure is mediated by ligand binding, and this results in modulation of gene expression. This family includes riboswitches that sense lysine in a number of genes involved in lysine metabolism, including lysC. The record is from RNAcentral.